This 458-nucleotide ribosomal RNA is filed under the name uncultured bacterium. RNAcentral describes it as "bacterial SSU rRNA". It matches the Rfam family "Bacterial small subunit ribosomal RNA", at positions 29 to 506 of the family's 1533-position model. The record is from RNAcentral.
AUGAACGUUGGCGGUGUGCCUAAUACAUGCAAGUCGAACGGAGAUAAUAGCAAUAUUGUCUUAGUGGCGAACGGGUGAGUAACGCGUUGGUGAUCUGCCCCGAAGUGGGGAAUAACAAUUCGAAAGAAUUGCUAAUACCCCAUGUGAUCUUAGAGAUUUGAUGCUCUUUGAUUAAAGGAUUUAUUCGCUUCGGGAGGAGCCUGCGUCCCAUCAGCUAGUUGGUAAGGUAAUGGCUUACCAAGGCGAUGACGGGUAGGGGACCUGAGAGGGUGGCCCCCCACAAUGGAACUGAAACACGGUCCAUACACCUACGGGUGGCAGCAGUAGGGAAUAUUAGUAAUGGGCGAAAGCCUGAACUAGCAACACCGCGUGUGCGAUGAAGGCCUUCGGGUUGUAAAGCACUUUUAGAGAGGACGAGGAAGGACGGUACUCUCUGAAUAAGUCUCGGCUAACUACGU